UCAUAGCAGCCGCCAAAGCAGUUGCCAGCAGCUUCAUGUGGAGCCUGCUCCCUCUCUGAGGAGUGUGUCUCUUUAAAUAUCUCACAUAAAAACCAAGGUCUGUAGAACCUGAAAAACUACAGCAAAAAGCAAUGUGACGAUAAGGCGAAUAUUUGUCUGGCUAUGUGCAAAGCCCCGAAUCAAGUUUUUCUUCUUUCCUUUCCAGGGACUCUAAUUCAGAAAGGUGUUGGUGAGACCCAAAUCGUACGGUGGAUCGUAGCGUGUUUUUACCAUCCCUCACUGGAGCGGAGCAAUCGCAACGGGACGCACUGCUGAUCGAUACGUUCAGAGGAUCUGGUGACCCUCGCUGUGGCCAUGCCCAAGCCACCCGCUUUGCAGACAGAGGUGAUCUUGGCCUUCAGGAAGCUGUAUGUGAGCUCACCUUUCUCUUGUUAUGCUUCAGAGCUUUCCAGAAGCCCGGGCCUGGAAUCAGGCUUGACUCUUUUAAUAGACAAGAUCCAGACACAAAAUAACUUUUGUCUCUGAAUCUGAAGGAGAGUUAUGCUGUGGUUAUACAGCUGCUGCUGAUGUAUGCAGGAACGGUGAAUUUGGUGGUGGUAAUUUCAAAUUCCUACAGGCUCUGUUCCUGCUAUGAGCAAACAGCCUGCGUUGUUGGGAUAAAGUAAAUCAGGACUUUCUGGAUCACAACUUUGGCUUAAAAAUUACAUUCAUUUCCUUGAUAGAGUUUCUCAGAAAAAACACCUUAACUGACUGUCACUUCUUAUGCCGCUUUGCCAUCUGCAGUGCCGGGAUGGUACCUGAGCAAGGAUUUCAGUUAAAGGUUUUCUUGCUGUAACUCUGUUCUUAGCUAUCAGCAGGACUAAGAUGGAAUAGGAGUUGGAAAGCCUAUAGUCAUCAUGGGAAUGGAGACACUGCUUUGUUGGAAAAAAGACCACGUUACAUAGUUUAUCUGGACAAUCACAGCCACUUGCAGCAGCAUUGCCUGUGCUGCAUUUGCUCUUCAGUGAACUGGAGCUGCUUGUCAUCCAGGAGGUCAUCCUGUAGCUCACAGAACUCAAGAACCCAGUGAGGAGACAGCAACUGACUUGAGAAGAGCUACAUUGGAUAUUAAAUGUUCCUAAAAUCACAGAAUGGCUGAAGUUGGAAGGUGAUCUCUUGAGAUUAUCUGGUCCAACUUGCACUUAAGGGAUACCCAGAACAGUGGGCCCAGGAACUUGUCCACAUGGCCUUUGAAUAUCACCUUUUUGGCCAUGUGGAUGCACUGAUGUCUCACGUUCAACUCGAUGGUCACCAGGAUCCAUGGGAGCAUCCUACCAGGAUUCAUAGACUUGUCAUCCUGUGCUAACAGCAAUGCUUCCUUGUAUCUGAAGGUGAGCAGUGUUGAAAUGUACUCUGUGGAAGACAAAACCCCCUGGAACCUGGGGACUACAGCAGCUCUGGGAGAAGGAGGCACUGUGUUGAAUCAGGACGUUGCACAAGAGCCAGCUUCAAACCGUUUAGGGUAUUUGGAUGUGCAACAUUAAUAUCCCACUCAUGCUCUGCUUUGAUUGCUGAUUGCUUCUAUUUAUAAUCGGAUAUCAUCAGAGUUCCUUCACUUCUUCCUCUCAAAUAGACUGCACCUCCUUCUCAUCCUCCUCCACCUCUCCUUCCCCCCUGCUGAGACCCACCAUGGAGCCACUUCUACAUUUUGCUUGCAAUAAAGUAAAAGGUUAUGUGGUUCCAUUCUAACUCCUUGGUCAUAGCUAUGUAAAAAGCCUCAAAUGAGGACAUCAAGGAGAAGCAGAGCAAAACUUCCAUGAGUACCAGAUGCACAGGGUAGUACACCUCACAGAGGCCAAGAAGAAAGAAAACCUUUGAUUAAAUUACUUGGAUUGUAUCCCCCAAAAUUUAUUACCCAUUGUUUCAUUUAAAAUCAGAGAGAAAGCUCUUAGGAGUGUAUUUUAGAAAGCAACCCAUUAUCUUGCACAUGGUAUAGCUUCAGUCUGCCAAUAGAAAGUGGAGAUUUUGUAUCAGUGGUUAAAAUUGAAAAUGUCUGAUUGCAUUCUCACUGUAACUGUUUUCACUCGCCAAGUUAGAGAAGGCUGAAAGAAACUGUGUAGAUCAAAUCCCUCUUUGGCAUUCCCAUGUCCUUGUUAGUGUGAUUGAUACAGAAGCAUUCCCCUCCCUUACAAUGAUAUUCUCAAGAUAACAACAUUAAAAAUUGGAGUUGUCCAA
Gallus gallus (chicken) is the source of this 2214-nucleotide long non-coding RNA. RefSeq lists it as uncharacterized. The record is from RefSeq and is a predicted model, not a curated record. The transcript is spliced from 3 exons. NCBI's taxonomy places the organism in Eukaryota, Metazoa, Chordata, Aves, Galliformes, Phasianidae.